RNAcentral lists this long non-coding RNA (201 nucleotides) under Nicotiana benthamiana. Its description in RNAcentral is "long non-coding RNA (NBEN_LNC038570)". Lineage: Eukaryota; Viridiplantae; Streptophyta; Magnoliopsida; Solanales; Solanaceae. The record is from RNAcentral.
GGGAGAAUGUUGCUGCGUGGAUCUGCUUCUAUGAUAGAAAGGAUAUGUUCAAGGCAUUCCUUGAUAGGAUUCUUCGGCUGAAAGAGGUUUGUUUUUUGUCUUGGGCUCAACGAAUUUUCAGUGAUUUAGUUAUCCUAAGUAAUUUGGUAAUGCUUGUUCUAUUGAAAAAGCUUGUUUUCUAACCUGAAUCUGCAUUGUAAC